RNAcentral lists this ribosomal RNA (465 nucleotides) under uncultured bacterium. RNAcentral describes it as "partial 16S ribosomal RNA". It matches the Rfam family "Bacterial small subunit ribosomal RNA", at positions 338 to 795 of the family's 1533-position model. The record is from RNAcentral.
CCUACGGGGGGCAGCAGUGGGGAAUAUUGCGCAAUGGGCGAAAGCCUGACGCAGCGACGCCGCGUGAGGGAUGAAGGUCUUCGGAUCGUAAACCUCUGUCAGCAGGGAAGAACGGUCACUGUGCUAAUCAGCAGUGAAUUGACGGUACCUGCAAGGGAAGCACCGGCUAACUCCGUGCCAGCAGCCGCGGUAAUACGGAGGGUGCGAGCGUUAAUCGGAAUUACUGGGCGUAAAGCGCUCGUAGGCGGUAUGUCAAGUCAAGGGGGAAAUCCCCGCGCUCAACGUGGGAACUGCCUUUGAAACUGGCAAACUGGAGUGUGUGAGAGGAUAGUGGAAUUCCAGGUGUAGGAGUGAAAUCCGUAGAUAUCUGGAGGAACAUCGGUGGCGAAGGCGACUAUCUGGCACAUAACUGACGCUGAGGAGCGAAGGCGUGGGUAGCAAACAGGAUUAGAUACCCGUGUAGUC